GAGGGAAACUUAGCUGAGUUUAGCCCUUCUUUUCCUCUCCUUCUUUUUCCCCUCCUCUUCUUCCCCUCCUCCUCUCCCUCAUCUUCACCUCCUCCUCUCCUUCCACUCCUCCUGCUCCUCUCCUUCUUCUUCCCUCCUUCUCCGCUCCUCCUUCAUCUUCCCUUCCUCCUCUCCCCCUUCCCCUCCUCUCCUUCUCUUCCCCUCCUCCUGCCCUUUCCCUCCUCCUGCUCCUCUCUGUCUUCUUUCCUCCUCCUCUCCUCCUUUCCCUUCCCCUCCCCCUCCUCCUCCCCUUUCUCUUCCUCUCCUCCUCCUCUCCUCCUCUCCUUUGUGUUCCCAUCUUCCUCCUCUCCUUUUCCUUCCCCUUCUCCUCUCCUUCCCCUCCUCCUCCUUCCCCUUCUCCUCCUCUCCUUCUUCCCUUUCUCCUUCUCCUCCUCCUCCUUCAUCUUCCCUUCCUCCUCUCCCCCUUCCCCUCCUCCUCCUCUCCUUCUCUUCCCCUCCUCCUGCCCUUUCCCUCCUCCUGCUCCUCUCUGUCUUCUUUCCUCCUCCUCUCCUCCUUUCCCUUCCCCUCCCCCCUCCUCCUCCCCUUUCUCUUCCUCUCCUCCUCCUCUCCUCCUCUCCUUUGUGUUCCCAUCUUCCUCCUCUCCUUUUCCUUCCCCUUCUCCUCUCCUUCCCCUCCUCCUCCUUCCCCUUCUCCUCCUCUCCUUCUUCCCUUUCUCCUUCUCCUCCUCCUCCUCCACCUUCCUCUUCUCAUCCUCCUCCUUCCAUUCUGCUUCCCACUCCUUCCCCUCCUCCUUCCAUUCCCUCUUCCAUACUCCCUCUCUCCUCCUUCUACCCUCCCUCCCCUUCUCCUCCUCCCCUUCCCCUUCCCUUUCCCUCUUCUCCCUUCCCCUCCUCCUCCUCCUCUCCUUCCCCUUCCCCUCCUCCUUCCUUGUCUCCUUCUUCUCCUCCCAUUCUGACUCCCACUCCUCCUCCUUCCAUUCAUUUCCCCUUGUCCUCCAGCCCUUCCUUGUCCUCCCCCUGUCCCCUUCCCCUCCCCCUGUCCCCUUCCCCUCCCUCUUCUCCUUCCCCCUCCUCCUCUUCAAAAUGAACCACUGGCUCAAGGAUUGGUGCCCUUCCCCCGCAAGUGAAGUUUGA
Molecule: long non-coding RNA, 1134 nt
Filed under: Laticauda laticaudata (blue-ringed sea krait)
Lineage: Eukaryota; Metazoa; Chordata; Lepidosauria; Squamata; Elapidae
Description: lncRNA (ENSLLTG00000016460.1)
Source: RNAcentral